GCCCGGAUAAAAGAGGAGGGUUGCAAAAUAUCAAAUUUGAUUAAAGCUGCUCUCAUUUAUUUUUUGGAUACAACAUUGGGUUUUGGAGAUCCACAUUCUACCGAACUGAACUAAGAGCACCAUAAUUGGAAAUUGUUUGAUAUCUUUCUCCUAGGAAGGAGUGAAACAUAAUCAAUUUGAAUUCAGGACCCUUUUUUGAUUUGUUAUCUCAUGUUUGCUUUCUUUAAAAAAUACCAAUUGAGGUGGGUGAGUAAAGCUGUACCAUUGCCUGCAUCCGUGGCUAGUCUUAACUUUUCAGUGAAAAAGGUUGCCUCAAUACAACAAAUAACGGAUUCAAGAAAGCAAUAACAAGAUCAACAAAUUGAAAUCAUAUAAAGGAUGUUGGGGCAUCGUCU
Molecule: unclassified non-coding RNA, 395 nt
Filed under: Hevea brasiliensis (rubber tree)
Lineage: Eukaryota; Viridiplantae; Streptophyta; Magnoliopsida; Malpighiales; Euphorbiaceae
Source: RNAcentral